Molecule: ribosomal RNA, 1498 nt
Filed under: uncultured bacterium
Lineage: Bacteria
Description: 16S ribosomal RNA
Rfam family: Bacterial small subunit ribosomal RNA
Source: RNAcentral
AGAGUUUGAUCCUGGCUCAGAGUGAACGCUGGCGGCAUGCCUAACACAUGCAAGUCGAACGGCAGCACAGCAGUAGCAAUACUGUGGGUGGCGAGUGGCGGACGGGUGAGGAACACAUCGGAAUUUGCCCAGUCGUGGGGGAUAACGUAGGGAAACUUACGCUAAUACCGCAUACGACCUUACGGUGAAAGCGGGGGAUCGCAAGACCUCGCGCGGAUGGAUGAGCCGAUGUCGCAUUAGCUAGUUGGUGGGGUAAAGGCCUACCAAGGCGACGAUCCGUAGCUGGUCUGAGAGGAUGAUCAGCCACACUGGGACUGAGACACGGCCCAGACUCCUACGGGAGGCAGCAGUGGGGAAUAUUGGACAAUGGGGGCAACCCUGAUCCAGCAAUGCCGCGUGUGUGAAGAAGGCCUUCGGGUUGUAAAGCACUUUUAUCCGGAACGAAACGUGCGGGGUGAAUAGCCUCGUAAACUGACGGUACCGGAGGAAUAAGCACCGGCUAACUUCGUGCCAGCAGCCGCGGUAUACCAAAGGGGGCAAGCGUUACUCGGAAUUACUGGGCGUUCUCGGGUGCGGAGGUGGUUUUUUAAGGUCUUGAAAUCCCAGAGGCUCAACCUGGGAAUGGCGGUGGAUACUGGAAAGCUGGUUUGCGGUAGAGGGUAGUGGAAUUCCCGGUGUAGCAGUGAAAUGCGUAGAGAUCGGGAGGAACACCAGUGGCGAAGGCGGCUACCUGGACCAGCACUGACACUGAGGCACGAAAGCGUGGGGAGCAAACAGGAUUAGAUACCCUGGUAGUCCACGCCCUAAACGAUGUCAACUGGUUGUUGGGUCUUAACUGACUCAGUAACGAAGCUAACGCGUGAAGUUGACCGCCUGGGGAGUACGGCCGCAAGGUUGAAACGCGCACCCCCCCGACGGGGACCCGCACAAGCGGUGGAUGAUGUGGUUUAAUUCGACGCAACGCGAAGAACCUUAACAGGCCUUGACAUCCCGUGCAAAGGUAUAGAGAUAUACCGAAGGUUACCAAGGUGACAGGUGGUGCAUGGUUGUCGUCAGCUCGUGUCGUGAGAUGUUGGGUUAAGUCCCGCAACGAGCGCAACCCUUGUCUUCAGUUACCAAUAUCAAGUUAGGGACUCUGGAGAGACUGCCGGUGAUAAACCGGGAGGAAGGGUGGGGGAUGACGUCAAGUCCUCAUGGCCCUUUACGGGCUGGGCUACACACGUACUACAAUGGGCGAAUACAAAGGGAAGCAAGCGUGCGAACGCAAGCGGAUCCUAUAAAAUUCGUCUCAGUUCAGAUUGCACUCUGCAACUCGAGUGCAUGAAGUUGGAAUCGCUAGUAUCGCGAAUCACCAGGUCGCGGUUGAAUACGUUCCCGGGCCUUGUACCACCCCCGUCCACCCAUGGGAGUGGUUCUACUGAGGCCUUUGCUGACCGCAAGGAGCAGGUGACCACGGUAGGAUCAGUGACUGGGGUGAAGUCGUAACAAGGUAGCCGUA